This 253-nucleotide ribosomal RNA is filed under the name uncultured bacterium. RNAcentral's name for it is "partial 16S ribosomal RNA". It matches the Rfam family "Bacterial small subunit ribosomal RNA", at positions 524 to 776 of the family's 1533-position model. The record is from RNAcentral.
UCCGUAGGUGGCGAGCGUUGUCCGGAUUUACUGGGUGUAAAGGGCGUGUAGGCGGGAUGACAAGUCAGAUGUGAAAUCCCAGGGCUUAACCCUGGAGCUGCAUCUGAAACUGUUUUUCUUGAGUGUCGGAGAGGAAAGUGGAAUUCCCAGUGUAGCGGUGAAAUGCGUAGAGAUUGGGAGGAACACCAGUGGCGAAGGCGGCUUUCUGGACGAUAACUGACGCUGAGGCGCGAAAGCGUGGGGAGAAAACAGG